CCCUUAGAUGUUCUGGGCCGCACGCGCGCUACACUGAUGCAUUCAACGAGUCUAAAACCUGGUCUGAUAGGGCUGGGUAAUCUUUUGAAAGUGCAUCGUGAUUGGGAUAGAUGAUUGCAAUUCUUCAUCUUCAACGAGGAAUGCCUAGUAAACGCAAGUCAUCAGCUUGCAUUGAUUACGUCCCUGCCCUUUGCACACACCGCCCGUCGCUCCUACCGAUUGAAUGAUCCGAUGAAUACCAUGGAUUGAGAGUACGAAUGGGUUCGCUCAUUUCUGCUGCUCGAGAAGUGGAGUAAAUCUUAUCAUUUAGAGGAAGGAGAAGUCGUAACA
Molecule: ribosomal RNA, 330 nt
Filed under: uncultured eukaryote
Lineage: Eukaryota
Description: partial 18S ribosomal RNA
Rfam family: Eukaryotic small subunit ribosomal RNA
Source: RNAcentral